Oppia nitens is the source of this 405-nucleotide long non-coding RNA. RefSeq lists it as uncharacterized. The transcript is spliced from 3 exons. NCBI's taxonomy places the organism in Eukaryota, Metazoa, Arthropoda, Arachnida, Sarcoptiformes, Oppiidae. The record is from RefSeq and is a predicted model, not a curated record.
AUAUCGUUUGACAUUAAUCACUAUCACUAUCAUCAUCAUUGUCUUGUGUUAGCUGAUACUAUCAAUAGUAGUGGUAGUCUUAGUAAAGCCAGUCCAGAGCAACCUAAUGCCACAACAACUAUAACAGUCUCAGCCAUUGUCAAUGAUACCAGUGGUGGUAAUGGUAUCACAAAUACAUCAUCUUUGAUUAUAACUGAUGAUCACACCAUAGUAAAUUCAACGACAACACCAAAAACUGGUAAUAAUGUUGAACUGAUUCCACCAAAAGUCGCCAAAUCUAGACAUCCGACCACUUUGUUUUGGGCUAUUGUUUGUAUAGUCAUAGCACUGGGUGUUAUCCUUGGACUUAUCUGUCGCUUUAUACAGCACUCGAAACUUCAAAACAGGACACCUCCGACACCGCCA